Molecule: long non-coding RNA, 1382 nt
Filed under: Gossypium barbadense (sea-island cotton)
Lineage: Eukaryota; Viridiplantae; Streptophyta; Magnoliopsida; Malvales; Malvaceae
Description: long non-coding RNA (GBAR_LNC005350)
Source: RNAcentral
ACGAUAAAUCCAUUUCCAUUUAAUUACUUUUAUUAUCUCUUAUUAAUUCCAAAAUCCUUACUCGUUUAAUCAAUUGUUUUAAACGUAAUUCGUUACGGAAGCUUUUAAAACUGUUUUGAGGAAAUCAUGUGUUUAGAGAAAACUUUGCCUUUUCGAAAACUGAGUUUUCCUACGUCUAGCAGUUAUAAAUCCAUAAAAAUAAAUAAAAACCAAAUUUAAGCAAAAGUCCCCAAAAGUCCCCAAAUUACAUCCAAAUAAACCACGGUAAAUAAAACAUAAAUCAUAAAUUAUAAAUCAUAAAAGUCCAAAAACUGUGGUCACCAUCGAGUCCUCCACUGCCCGAUCUGUCUAGGUCUGGUGAUUACCUGUGCACAUUAAACCUAGAGGGGUGAGUUUAUGUAAACUCAGUGUGUAAUCCCAUAGAAAACAAACAACAGUAAACACAGUGCAUCAUCAAAAAAGUCUUGGGCAUAAGCACCUUUCAGUAUCAGUAUCAGUAUCAGUAUGCACAAGGGCCUUAGCCCAUCACAGUGUUAAUAACAGAUAUACAAUAUUCAGUAACAAAGUCCUACCCAACCAGCCUCUACACACCAUCUCUGUCCAACCCUACACUCCAUGUGGGGAUUAAAUCAACCCACCCAUCCCUACUGAUGCGAACGUAACCGCGUCAUGUUACAAAUUAACUCGACAACAUCGAGCAUGGCCUAAGCUCGAGGGGCCUAAGUGCAAAAUGAGGCCCAAUCUUAGCUCGUUGAGCUCAAUUUUGCUCAUUUUUAGCUCAAUGAGUUUGUGUGCUCAUUCAAUGAGCCUGAUUCAACUCAAAUACGCUUGUUUGAGCUUAUUUCCAUAUUUUUAUUUUUGAAUAAAGAUGAUUUCAGUGGUAAUAGUUGCCCGAUCGAUAAACUGGGUAAGUUUGAACGGUUUGCAAAAUUGGGGAUGAAAACAAGGAAGAUAGGUUUGAAUGGCUAGUUUUGUAAUGGAUAUGGAAGCAAGUUGAUGGUUUGAUUCAAAAAUGCUGAAAGAGGGAUGGAUAAAUGACUAUCAACGGGAUCAAACAAAGGUUAAAGGAAAACUUGGUGAUAGGUGGAUGAAAAUCGGCUAAGGCCAAGAUUGAACCAACGUUAUAGGAAAAGUUAGCCCGGAUCUUAGAUGACACUUAGGUUGAGAAGUUAAUGGAAAUAUAGAUGGAGAAAUUGAUAGAAAACCUUGACCUGCUAUCAAGGAUGAUAGGAACCUCGGUAUAGUUUUGAACGUUACACCAACAAAGGUGAAGAGUUCGGGCUAACAAGGAAAGAUUGACGCCACAAGACGAAAUCUCGAUAAGUCAGAUCAGUCCUAAAGUGAAUAAAGAGAAUUGAAUUCUCACUAGAACAAUAGAGUUC